CUCGUUUCAUUUAUUUUUGCACAUUAGUGUCCAUUCUUUGUUCCUCAAUCCACAUACCCUGAAAUCAAGGAUUCAUAUCAGUUAUUGGCAUAAAAAAAGAAAUUUAAGACACUAAAUCUAUUAAAAUAAUGGGUGUGUUUGGUAUGAAGGAAAAUGUUUUCCAUGGAAAAUGUUUUCCUGGAAAACAAGUUGAUUUUUGACUUAUUUUCUCAUGUUUGGUUAGUGAGUGGAAAACAUUUUCCGGAAAACAAUUUCUAGUGUUUGAUUUAUGAAUGAAAAAUAUUUUUGAGAAAUAUCUUUUAUUUUUACU
This 310-nucleotide long non-coding RNA is filed under the name Solanum tuberosum (potato). RNAcentral's name for it is "long non-coding RNA (STUB_LNC009648)". Lineage: Eukaryota; Viridiplantae; Streptophyta; Magnoliopsida; Solanales; Solanaceae. The record is from RNAcentral.